UGGGGAAUCUUGGACAAUGGGCGCAAGCCUGAUCCAGCCAUGCCGCGUGAGUGAAGAAGGCCUUAGGGUUGUAAAGCUCUUUUACCAGGGACGAUAAUGACGGUACCUGGAGAAUAAGCCCCGGCAAACUUCGUGCCAGCAGCCGCGGUAAUACGAAGGGGGCUAGCGUUGUUCGGAAUUACUGGGCGUAAAGGGUGCGCAGGCGGUUUGUUAAGACAGGUGUGAAAUCCCCGGGCUUAACCUGGGAAUUGCGCUUGUAACUGGCAGGCUAGAGUGUGGCAGAGGGGGGUGGAAUUCCACGUGUAGCAGUGAAAUGCGUAGAUAUGUGGAGGAACACCGAUGGCGAAGGCAGCCCCCUGGGUUAACACUGACGCUCAUGCACGAAAGCGUGGGGAGCAAACAGGAUUAGAUACCCCAGUAGUCCCUGAGCGGGCUGGCAAGGCGCAU
RNAcentral lists this ribosomal RNA (447 nucleotides) under uncultured bacterium. Its description in RNAcentral is "bacterial SSU rRNA". It matches the Rfam family "Bacterial small subunit ribosomal RNA", at positions 355 to 825 of the family's 1533-position model. The record is from RNAcentral.